UUAAGUUAAUAAGGGUAUAUGGUGGAUGUUUUGGCGCUAAGAAGCGAAGAAGGACGCAGCAGGCUGCGAAAAACCUCGGGGAGUUGCCAACAUGCGGAGAUCCGGGGGUAUCCGAAUGGGGAAACCUACUAGAACGAAGAUCUAGUAUUCAUGCCUGAAUAAAAUAGGGUAUGAAAGCAAACGGUGAGAAUUGAAACAUCUUAGUAGCACCAGGAAAAGAAAGAAAAUCUCGAUUGCCUCAGUAGCGGCGAGCGAAAGGGUAAGAGCCUAAACCAACUGCAUGUAAGGCCAGGCCCGUUGUGUAGUUGGGGUAGAGGGAGUUAUCGUGCUGUGCGCAGGGGUACAGCAGGAAGUCAAAAAAGUUGUAGCUAGCAGAACGCUAAUGGAAAGUAGCGACCAAAGAAGGUGAAAGUCCUGUAAGCGAAAGAUACAACCCUUCCAGAUAACCACCCAAGUAACGCUGGACACGUGAAACCCGGCGUGAAUCAGGGAGGCCCACCUCCUAAGGCUAAAAAUUACUUAGCGACCGAUAGCGUACCAAGUAGUGCGAAUGAAAAAUGAAAAGAACCCCGUUGAGGGGAGUGAAAUAGUACCUGAAACCAUAUACUUACAAAGCGGUAGGAGCGUUAUGGCUUGCCUGAAUGUGUAGCAUGACAGGUGUUAUAUACGAGUAUAUAACUUCUGCAGCAAGCAAAGCGUGACUACGUGCCUUUUGCAUAAUGAUCCGGCGAGUUACUGUAUGCAGCAAGGUUAAGUGAUUAAGUCACGAAGCCAAAGCGAAAGCGAGUGUUAAAAGCGCAAAAGAGUUGCAUGUAGUAGACCCGAAAGCCAGUGAUCUAACCAUGGCCAGGGUGAAGUGAAUAUAAAAAUUCAUGGAGGCCCGAAUGCACUAAUGUUGAAAAGUUAGGCAAUGAGUUGUGGUUAGGAGUCAAAGGCUAAUCAAACUGGCCAAUAUCUGGUUCUCCCCGAAAUGGCUUUCUGGCCAGCCUUAUGAAUAGUAUACGGGGGUAGAGCGACUGAAUGGAUUUAGGGGGCCACAAGCCUACCUUAUUCAACCAAACUCCGAAUACCGUAUAUAUGAUCAUGGGAGUUAGACAGCGGGGGAUAAGCUCCGUUGUCAAAAGGGAAACAGCCCAGACUGCCAGCUAAGGUCCCAAAUACAGACUAAGUGAGAAAGGAAGUGAGUGUGCAAAGACAGCCAGGAUGUUGGCUUAGAAGCAGCCAUCAUUUAAAAAGUGCGUAAUAGCUUACUGGUCGAGCAUACUCGCGCCAAAAAUUCAAGGGACUAAAGUCUGUAACCGAAGCUGCGGAUGUGGUUAAAACCACGGUUUUAAGCACGUGGUAGGGGAGCGUUCCAUAAAGGGUGAAGGGUGACUGAGAAGACACCUGGACGAGAUGGAAGUGACUAUGCCGGAAUGAGUAGCGAUAAAAUAAGUGAGAAUCUUAUUCGCCGUAAGCCUAAGGUUUCCUGGGGAAGGUAAUUCCGCCCAGGGUUAGUCGGUACCUAAGGUGAGGCCGAAAGGCGUAAUCGAUGGAUAACAGGUUAAUAUUCCUGUACUACUUACAAACGAAGGGAGCAAUCCUGAGAGUGUAAGGGGAGACGGAGAAGGCUAAAUCAACCCCGUGAAUGGACGAGCGGGGCCAGGCCCGUAGGAUGACAUGCCAGGCAAAUCCAGCGUGUCGCUAAUCUGAGGGGAGUGGGGAGCGCAAGCGAAGUGGUUGAUGCCAAGCUUCCAAGAAAAGCCUCGAACACGAGUAAAGUAAGUAACCGUACUAAAACUGACACAGGUAGGCGAGGAGAAUAUCCUAAGGCGCGCGAGAGAACCCUCGUUAAGGAACUCGGCAAAUUAACCCCGUAACUUCGGGAGAAGGGGUGCCCUUAUGGGUGAAGUUCCUAGCGAUUUGAGCCCAUGAGGGCCGCAGAGAAAUGGUCCAGGCGACUGUUUACUAAAAACACAGGACUCUGCCAAGGCGUAAAGCCGAUGUAUAGAGUCUGACGUCUGCUCGGUGCUGGAAGGUUAAGGGAAUAGGUCAGUGGCGCAAGCCGCGAAGCUUUGAACCGAAGCCCCAGUUAACGGCGGCCGUAACUAUGACGGUCCUAAGGUAGCGAAGUUCCUUGUCGGGUAAGUUCCGAC
RNAcentral lists this ribosomal RNA (2135 nucleotides) under anaerobic digester metagenome. Its description in RNAcentral is "bacterial LSU rRNA". It matches the Rfam family "Bacterial large subunit ribosomal RNA", at positions 3 to 1987 of the family's 2925-position model. The record is from RNAcentral.